GACUAACGCUGGCGGCGUGCUUAACACAUGCAAGUCGAACGGAAAGGCCUCUUUCGGGGGGUACUCGAGUGGCGAACGGGUGAGUAACACGUGAGUAACCUGCCCUUGACUUUGGGAUAACUUCAGGAAACUGGGGCUAAUACCGGAUAGGAGCUCCUGCUGCAUGGUGGGGGUUGGAAAGUUUCGGCGGUUGGGGAUGGACUCGCGGCUUAUCAGCUUGUUGGUGGGGUAGUGGCUUACCAAGGCUUUGACGGGUAGCCGGCCUGAGAGGGUGACCGGCCACAUUGGGACUGAGAUACGGCCCAGACUCCUACGGGAGGCAGCAGUGGGGAAUAUUGCACAAUGGGUGGAAGCCUGAUGCAGCAACGCCGUGUGCGGGAUGACGGCCUUCGGGUUGUAAACCGCUUUCGCUCAUGACGAAGCUUUGUGUGACGGUAGUGGGUAAAGAAGCACCGGCUAACUACGUG
RNAcentral lists this ribosomal RNA (467 nucleotides) under uncultured bacterium. RNAcentral describes it as "partial 16S ribosomal RNA". It matches the Rfam family "Bacterial small subunit ribosomal RNA", at positions 28 to 507 of the family's 1533-position model. The record is from RNAcentral.